RNAcentral lists this ribosomal RNA (252 nucleotides) under uncultured bacterium. RNAcentral describes it as "partial 16S ribosomal RNA". It matches the Rfam family "Bacterial small subunit ribosomal RNA", at positions 524 to 776 of the family's 1533-position model. The record is from RNAcentral.
UACGUAGGGGGCAAGCGUUGUCCGGAAUUACUGGGCGUAAAGAGCUCGUAGGUGGUUUGUCGCGUUGUUCGUGAAACUCACAGCUUAACUGUGGGCGUGCGGGCGAUACGGGCAGACUUGAGUACUGCAGGGGAGACUGGAAUUCCUGGUGUAGCGGUGGAAUGCGCAGAUAUCAGGAGGAACACCGGUGGCGAAGGCGGGUCUCUGGGCAGUAACUGACGCUGAGGAGCGAAAGCGUGGGGAGCGAACAGG